GGAGGCAGCAGUGGGGAAUAUUGCGCAAUGGGGGAAACCCUGAUGCAGCAACGCCGCGUGAGUGAUGACGGUCUUCGGAUUGUAAAGCUCUGUCUUUGGGGACGAUAAUGACGGUACCCAAGGAGAAAGCCACGGCUAACUACGUGCCAGCAGCCGCGGUAAU
RNAcentral lists this ribosomal RNA (163 nucleotides) under Clostridium sp. enrichment culture DGGE gel band jl-1d-7. Its description in RNAcentral is "partial 16S ribosomal RNA". It matches the Rfam family "Bacterial small subunit ribosomal RNA", at positions 344 to 524 of the family's 1533-position model. Lineage: Bacteria; Bacillati; Bacillota; Clostridia; Eubacteriales; Clostridiaceae. The record is from RNAcentral.